GAUGAAGAACGCAGCGAAAUGCGAUAAGUAAUGUGAAUUGCAGAAUUCAGUGAAUCAUCGAAUCUUUGAACGCACAUUGCGCCCGCCAGUAUUCUGGCGGGCAUGCCUGUUCGAGCGUCAUUUCAACCCUCAAGCCCCCGGGCUUGGUGUUGGGGAUCGGCGUGCCCUCGCGGCGCGCCGUCCCCUAAAUCUAGUGGCGGUCUCGCUGUAGCUUCCUCUGCGUAGUAGCAACACUCGCACUGGAUCGCAGCGCGGCCACGCCGUUAAACCCCCCACUUCUGAAAGUUUGACCUCGGAUCAGGUAGGAAUACCCGCUGAACUUAAGCAUACAAUAAGCGGAGGA
RNAcentral lists this unclassified non-coding RNA (343 nucleotides) under soil metagenome. Its description in RNAcentral is "partial contains 5.8S ribosomal RNA, internal transcribed spacer 2, and large subunit ribosomal RNA". The stretch from base 1 to 120 matches the Rfam family "5.8S ribosomal RNA", at positions 35 to 154 of the family's 154-position model. The record is from RNAcentral.